Non-coding RNA from Cinara cedri, 300 nucleotides. Lineage: Eukaryota; Metazoa; Arthropoda; Insecta; Hemiptera; Aphididae. The record is from the annotation of a GenBank genome assembly.
AUUCAAUAAUAUAGUAUAGAUAUUUAAAUCUAAAAACAGCACAUUUUUUUCUAUAAUAAGUAAUUUAUGGAAGUAAGUGUGAAUAAAAAAAUUUCGGGGGAUGUUAUAAUCCACUACCUUCCCACUCUGGAUACACCACUGGAACCUAUGAAUUAUAGUACAAUAAAAUGAUAGUAUAGACCUAACUGUGCUAACUGUUUAAAUCUAAUACGUAGGAUAGUACCGACACAAGAUUUUACUGAGAUCAACCCCCGUCCCUCUCGAAAAAAGGACUAUUAUUAAUAUUAAUCUGGAUAAUCC